AGCACUUCAUCACCAACGGCAAGGUGCCUUGGCAAGAGAGCAAGAUAAUGGACACAAGACUGUACAGUGGUGUUGCACCGGACGAAGAUGCAGGCUGUUCUAGUGGUUCAUCCAAGAUGACUGUGACAUGGUUGUCGUAGUCGACCUGGCCCUCCUCUGCGUUGCCACUGCUGCUGUUACUUGCAGGCGCCGGACUCCGCUCACUUGAUGCUCUAUGUUAAAGGUCGGAAAGAUGAACUCGCGUGAAACAUUUGUGAUGUAGAGAAAAUAAUAUUUUAUCAAUGAGAAAUAAUUAUUGUUGGUGAUUGUUGCAAAAGCUAGAUAAUAUUACGAGGUAAUAUACUGCUUAAACUUUAUUUUCUGAAUGCACAAGUGGUGUUAACUUUAUCAGGUAACAUGCUUUUGCACUGCAAGCCCUAUUUGCUUGACUCAUUAAAAAAGUGCACCUCACAACGUUCACUUUCACCACAUCCAUUCCUUCACCCGUUCAUUUGAUUGUUAGCGUCUUUGGUAGGCAUGCAGAAAAUGGCUUUUUAGGUGAUAGCAAAUGUUUUCAUCAUCUUCUUAGCACUAUCAUGCAUUUUCCUGCUGGCAAAGUUAUUUUGGUACCUUUCUUACAACUUACCGAUCGGGAUUGAUGAAUCCUACGUUUGUAGAAAUGCUGGAAAACAUUAACAUUUUUUAGUUAUGCUACAGCAAUCAGGCCUUAAAAAAAUUUCGAUGAGCAAGUUAUGCAGUACGCUAUGUUCUUUUUGUAAAGGGGGGUUUAUUGAAG
Molecule: long non-coding RNA, 775 nt
Organism: Rhipicephalus microplus (southern cattle tick)
Lineage: Eukaryota; Metazoa; Arthropoda; Arachnida; Ixodida; Ixodidae
Source: RefSeq, a predicted model, not a curated record